This 561-nucleotide ribosomal RNA is filed under the name uncultured bacterium. RNAcentral describes it as "bacterial SSU rRNA". It matches the Rfam family "Bacterial small subunit ribosomal RNA", at positions 338 to 916 of the family's 1533-position model. The record is from RNAcentral.
CCUACGGGAGGCAGCAGUGGGGAAUAUUGGACAAUGGGCGAAAGCCUGAUCCAGCAAUGCCGCGUGAGUGAUGAAGGCCUUAGGGUUGUAAAGCUCUUUUACCAGGGAUGAUAAUGACAGUACCUGGAGAAUAAGCUCCGGCUAACUCCGUGCCAGCAGCCGCGGUAAUACGGAGGGAGCUAGCGUUGUUCGGAAUUACUGGGCGUAAAGCGUACGUAGGCGGUUAUUCAAGUCAGAGGUGAAAGCCCGGGGCUCAACCCCGGAACGGCCUUUGAAACUAGGUAGCUAGAGUCUUGGAGAGGUUAGUGGAAUUCCGAGUGUAGAGGUGAAAUUCGUAGAUAUUCGGAAGAACACCAGUGGCGAAGGCGACUAACUGGACAAGUACUGACGCUGAGGUAUGAAAGCGUGGGGAGCAAACAGGAUUAGAUACCCUGGUAGUCCACGCCGUAAACGAUGAUAACUAGCUGUUCGGGCACUUGGUGCCUGAGUGGCGCAGCUAACGCAUUAAGUUAUCCGCCUGGGGAGUACGGUCGCAAGNUUAAAACUCAAAUGAAUUGACGG